Molecule: microRNA precursor, 224 nt
Filed under: Paramuricea clavata
Lineage: Eukaryota; Metazoa; Cnidaria; Anthozoa; Malacalcyonacea; Plexauridae
Source: RNAcentral
UGCAUAUUUUGGUAAGAUAUUAACAAAAGUUGUUCGUCUUGGUGAGGGCUACAACUUUGCUUAAUAUCGUCUUACCAAAUUAUGCUUAUUUAAGGAGAUAAGUCCACGCAUGCGCAGUACGUAACUCCUUACGCUUGCAUAUUUUGGUAAGAAGAUAUUAACAAAAGUUGUUCGUCUUGGUGAGGGCUACAACUUUGCUUAAUAUCGUCUUACCAAAUUAUGCU